RNAcentral lists this ribosomal RNA (898 nucleotides) under Salmonella enterica subsp. enterica serovar Typhimurium. RNAcentral describes it as "bacterial SSU rRNA". It matches the Rfam family "Bacterial small subunit ribosomal RNA", at positions 66 to 937 of the family's 1533-position model. The record is from RNAcentral. Lineage: Bacteria; Pseudomonadati; Pseudomonadota; Gammaproteobacteria; Enterobacterales; Enterobacteriaceae.
GCGGUAACAGGGGAAGCUUGCUUCCCGCUGACGAGCGGGGGACGGGUGAGUAAUGUGUGGGGAUCUGCCCGAUAGAGGGGGAUAACUACUGGGAACGGGAGCUAAUACCGCAUAAUCUCUCAGGAGAAAAGCAGGGGAACUUCGGUCCUUGCGCUAUCGGAUGAACCCAUAUGGGAUUAGCUAGUGGGGGAGGUAAUGGCUCACCUAGGCGACGAUCCCUAGCUGGGCUGAGAGGAUGAUCAGCCACACUGGGACUGAGACACGGCCCACACUCCUACGGGAGGCAGCAGUGGGGAAUAUUGCACAAUGGGCGCAAGCCUGAUGCAGCCAUGCCGCGUGUAUGAAGAAGGCCCUAGGGUUGUAAAGAACUUUCAGUCGGGAGGAAGGCGUUGAUGCUAAUAUCAUCAACGAUUGACGUUACCGACAGAAGAAGCACCGGCUAACUCCGCGCCACCAGCCGCGGUAAUACGGAGGGUGCAAGCGUUAAUCGGAAUUACUGGGCGUAAAGCGCACGCAGGCGGUUGAUUAAGUUAGAUGUGAAAUCCCCGGGCUUAACCUGGGAAUGGCAUCUAAGACUGUGUCAGCUAUAGUCUUGUAGAGGGGGGUAGAAUUCCAUGUGUAGCGGUGAAAUGCGUAGAGAUGUGGAGGAAUACCGGUGGCGAAGGCGGCCCCCUGGACAAAGACUGACGCUCCAGUGCGAAAGCGUGGGGAGCAAACAGGAUUAGAUACACCUGUGUAGACCACGCUGUAAACGAUGUCUAUAUUGUGAGGUUGUUCGCCUAUAGGAGUGUGCUUUCGCGAGCUAACGCGCGUAUAAUCGACACGCGCUGUGGGAGUACAGGCGCGAAGGGUAUAAACUCUCAAUGUAUUUGACACGGGGGCCGCACAAGACGCUGGA